This 10437-nucleotide long non-coding RNA is filed under the name Ananas comosus (pineapple). Its description in RNAcentral is "long non-coding RNA (ACOM_LNC005814)". Lineage: Eukaryota; Viridiplantae; Streptophyta; Magnoliopsida; Poales; Bromeliaceae. The record is from RNAcentral.
UCUCCAUCACUCUCGCUCUCUUUCUUAUCUCUCUAGAAGAAAAGAGGUGCUGUUGUCCCUCUUUUUGGAGGUUGGGAAUCCGUCUUCUCCAAGCUUGAAAAAGGUGGAGAGCUUCAAGAGGAAGAUCUAGGAGGAAGAACUCUCUCCCACAUUUGGAUUGCAAAAAGAGAAGUAAGUUGGCAUUUUAGGAUUUUGGUUUUAUGAUUUUUCCAAAUGAGAAUAUUUUAGAACCAUUUUUAAAAUUUUUUUGGUGUUUUCAAGAGAGUUAGGUCAUUUCUUUGUUGAAGAUCCAACCCAGGUGGUGAAUAUCACUAAAAAAAAGUUUGAUCUUCCCUUUAUCUUUAGAACUUUUGGAUUAUUAGCAUGUAUUAUUGGUAAUAAUUAAACUAAAUGUAAUUUUAGUUACAUGCUAGAAAAAUAGAAUUUUCGACCCGGGCGGAAAGGCCUCAGCGGCACGGAGGAGUCAGAAAUCCCCUUCCUCCAUGUUAUCCACCUAUUGCACAUUCUACGAGGUGCUAUCGUCAGUUUUUCUAAGUUAAUCUGCAUAAAAAAAGCCAAAACUUGCAAUUCAAAUUUAGCGUGAACAAGAUAAAAUAAAAACAUUACACCAUAUUCCUUCAAACUAUUUAUACUAGGGCCAUGUUUGAAGCACCGGAUUAGCACGGGAUUGGAUUAAACUUAAUCCGAUCUAGUUUUGAUCUGGUAUUUGGGUGUGAGAUAGCAUGGGAUUACUCAGAUCUGGUCUAGCCCAACUAUCUUGCUCACAUGGCAUUAGUCAAUCCCGUGGUGAGGGACGAGAUUAUUCCAACUAAUUAAGAUGUUUCACCUGUCAGCUGGUUCACUUCUCUUUUCUUAUCUCUUCUGCUCUCGUCCAUAGUUAGUUAAUUCGCGAAUUAUUUACGAAUUUUAAAAAAUUUGAAUAAAAUAGUCCAUAUGCAAUUUAUUCUCAAAAAUUCAUAGUAAAACGUGAAUUUUUGGGUUAAAUUUAUUAUUCGCGAAUAAUUCAUGUAUACUGAACUAUUCGUCUAAAAAAACACACAGAAUUUGUGGAUAAAAUUCCUUUCUCCAUUAUUCACGAAUUAUUAUCGAAUUAUUUGCAAAUUAUUCACGAGUUAUUGAAAAACUUCAUGGACUUUUGGAAUAUGUUGAUCGUGAAAAAGAUAAAGAAGAAAACGGCAGUGAACUUUGAAAUUGCUCAUUUUACUUAAUCUGUUUUAUUUUGUACCUCUCUAUUUUUAUAUUUUUUUAACUAUUUAUAUUAAUAGCAUAAAUCUAGAGAAAAAAUUAAAUUUAAUAACCGAAUUUUUUGUCCUAAAUUUUUAAUUAUUGAAUGUAUAAUUUUCAUAUAAAUUACGUAACUAAAUAAUUGGUGAACCAUUUUUUAAGCCGUAUUUUUUAACUUAUUUAAAAGGGUUAAUUUCAUACAUGUCCUUGCAAACAUGGUGAAUAGCAGAUAUAUAUUCUACAAAGUUCAACUUUCAUAAGUUAUCCCUGCAGAAUCCCUAAUGUAUUCAGAUAUGUCUCUACCGUUAAAAUCUGUUAGAGAAAUCUAGUUAACCACAGUUAAAAUACUUAACCAUGAUUAGUUAAUAAGAUAAAAUGGCAUUUUUACCCUUCUUCCUCUUCCCCUUCCUCUUUUUCCUCUACUUCUUCUUCCUCUUCCUCUUCCUCUCCUGCUUCUUCUCCUUCCUCUUCUUCUUCGUAUCCUCAUUUUCCUCCUCCUUUUCUCCUCCUCCUUCUUCUUCGUUGUCGUCGUCGAUGAUCCAAUCGUCGUCACCGUCGUGGUGCCCUCGUGGGCCGUCGACACGGGCGCCUCCGACGGCAUCGGCCGCGCCUUCGCCUUCCGCCUCUUCCUUGUCCUCGUUCGCCGCAACCCCGACAAGCUCCCCAAUGCCGCCGUCGCCGCCGUCACCAUCCGCUCCCACAUCCUGAAGAGGAAGAUGAAAAUGGAGAGGGCAAGGGCAAAAUAGUCAUUUCACAACUCUACUGUUAAAAAAUUAACAGUUCUCUAAUAGAUUCUAACCAGAGGGACAUAUCUGAAUAUAUUAGGGCUUUUGCAGGAAUAACUUAUGAAAGUUGAACUUUGCAGGAAUAUAUCUGUUAUUCGUCAUAUUUGUGGGGACCUGUAUGAAAUUAACCCUAUUUAAAAAUUGGGAUACAAAUUUAUUAUACCUAUACUACAUUUUUGCCAAAUCCGAAUUAACUAACGAUGCUCUCCUGUUUAGGCAUGCGCAUCCUCUACUCCUAAUUCAAAUUUAAAAUUGAAAUCUACAAUUUGAGUUUUAUUGAAAUUCAAUUUUAUAUUAUAUGUUCAAAAAUUAAAUAAAAUAUCUUUAAACCAAAGCUUGUCAUUUAAAGCUUGAAUUUGAAUUGAAAUCUAACCAUUAUGAGGUAGCUAAUGAGACAUCCUUGAUGGAAUGUGCAAUUUGUUCAAAAUUGAAUUCAAAUUUUUUAAGAAUUUCAAUUUUGAAAGCACAAUUUGAAUUUAAAAUUUUAUUUUGAGUUUUCAUUUCAUUUCAAGUUGUGAAUUAUUAUAUUUUGAAAUACAAGUUUGAUAUGAUGUAUUAAGUAACUUUUAAGAAAGAAAUUUUGAAAAGUGAAUUCAAUUUAGAAUUUAAAUAGUUUGUUCUAAGGGGGAAAAAAAUUAGAGUCCAAUCCUGCCUCUUAUCCUAGACACACCAAACAUAGGAUUGGAUUUAUUAUUAUUAUUAUUAUUAUUAUUAUUAUUAUUUUAAGAGAAAGCAAUAGGCAUAAGACCUGCAUUAUAUUAAAAAGAGUAAAAUUUACAUAGGAUUGACUUCUAAUUAUCCAAUUCAAUCCUAACUCUAUCCCUAUCCAAUCCUCUUUAAUUAUCCUAUAUAUCCAAUCCAAUCACAGAUGCCAAAUAUGUCCUAUAACUUUACAUAUCUAAUAAUAGUCAUCCUCCAAUUGAGCCUAUAAAUUAAUAUUAGGAUGAAGUUUGGGCAUGAGCUCUAAAUUUAAGCUCACAUAGGAACUCAAACUCGUAACCUCGUGCUCGGAAGUCAAUUAGUAUAUCAUUAGACAGCUAGCGGUUUGGUGAUUUUGGGAGUGAUUUUGACUCCAUUAGAGUCACAUCUAAAAUUUCAUAUUGUCUGGCAAAUUCACACUACAUGUUAAUGCAUGUAUUAACAGUUUGUUAGAGCAACAUAAACUAUGAAAAAUCUAUAGUCCUAUUGCCUUAUUCUUGUACGAAAUGACCACUCAGUCGUAAAACUGUUGUUGCAUAUAUAUAACUCCAAUCAGUAGAGCAGAAAAUAUCUUUUUCUAGGUGAAAAGAGAAAAAGAAAACAAACUAUCCGUUUCGUUCAUCUUUCUUAGAAAUGAACUCGACUAGUACGAACUAGUUAGAAUUUGAACUCCGAAUCAUGAGUGUCAACAAUUUUAAGUCAUUAACUAAUUUGGCGUUUGGAAGUGAAAUAUAUGCACAGUUGAAUGUCACCGACAAAAUAUUUUCCGCUAACUUCUUCUUGACAGUGGCUCAAUCUCCAAAGAAGCAUUCUAUCGGAGGUUGCUGGGGCGCUCUAGAAGUUUCUACGCAGAUCUCAAAACUAUAGCUGCGGAUGCUAAAGGGUUAAGAGUCCCUUAGAGUUUCUACGUAGGCAAUAAUUAUUGUCUCUUGGGAGCUUGUAGCCUCCCUAUUUGCCAUGUAAUUAUGCGCCAUUUGGCGCCUUUUCAUUUGUAGCCUGGGUAUAGAGUGGCCUAUAUAAGUUUGUGGCCUCCGCCCCCUCAGAAAAUCAGUUGUGCUCUCAACUUUUAUCAAUACACAAGAUUCCUCAACUCUCUCUCUCUCUCUCUCUCUCUCUCUCUCUCUCUCUCUCUCUUAUACUUAGUUUAGGGCGAAUAGUGUUCGCUUAAAUGGGCCAGCAUCCUGCCCUGUGGCGGGAGGCCAUGUGGGCCGAGUCAUGUUCGAAAUGGCAUGAGCCUGGGUUGGGCCGAGUCAUGUUCGAAGUGGCGUGAGGCCAGGUGGGCCGAGUCACAAGAGUACUCGAAAAUAAUGUUGGCUAUCUCCAACAUAGCCGAUGAGGAUCAGCUAUUCUUUUUCCUAGAUGGACUUUAGCCGUGGCCGAACAAGGAGUUUGUGGCUCAAAACGUGAAGGACUAGAACUCCACGAUUGUUUUGGCGGAGAAGUUGCCCGAGCGGGAGCGAACUGAGGGCGAUCGAGGUGAACCACCAAAGGCGAGCGAGGCCAAAGGUGGGGGAGAGCACCACGAUCCAGGGGGCGCGAAGGGGCACAAGCCAAACCAUGAUGCUAGGAGGCAUCGACGGAAUCCCGCCCCGUCGCCUGCAAAGAUCUCUUGCUAUGUUUGCUGUGAGAACCAGUGGGCACGGGACUUCCCAAAGAAGGGCAACCACAAAGGAAAGCAGGUUGCUGCAGUCUAAGCUGUGGAGGACAAGAACGUGGUUGAGCUGCCGAGGAUAGGCGCAAUAAGACUUGUCAUUGCAAUUCGCGGUGAACCAAACGGCGACGAGCUCUGCAGGAGGGAGCUCAUGUUUGUCGAUGUGAUCCUCAACGGGAGGACCAUGUGGGUGAUGAUCGAUGCCGGUGCGACACAUAGCUUUGUCGUGGAGGCGGAGGCCAAGCGGUUGGGCCUCACACUCGAGAAGGAUCCGAGCCGCAUCAAGGUGAUCAACUCUGAGUUGCGGUUAAUCGCGGGAGUUGCCAAAGGCAUGGAGAUAGCCAUCGGCCUGUGGAGGGCAAAGGCUAAUCUCACUGUUGGGCCGCUCGACGACUUUGGAGUGAUCCUCAGGAUAGACUUCCUUGUUUCGUCGAAGGCAGCAUCCAUGCCACACUUGUGGGUGCUGAGCUUCCUGAACGAGCCAGCACCGUGCAUGGUUCUGAUGUGUUGGGGCGAGCUGACGAAGGACCAAACUCUGACAACCCUGCAAAUUUAUAAGGAGGUGAAGUGCGGAAAAGCUGAGGAACUCGAGGAGGAUGACUUGAGCAGCGGCGAGACUGUCAAAUUUCAUGAGGCGCUAAAGCAACCAAUGCCCAAUCAAAAAGUGCAAGUCAUUUUGUCAAGCAGGAGUUCGAGGGGGCCAAGAGGUGUUUUGCGGCGUGGUGGAGUGCGCGUGCGUGUCAUGGAGGACAUGCACACUUGGCAGAUUCUUUACACAGCGGGUUCGCUGGUGCACAUGCUCAGAGAGGCAAGGCACUAGGAGCUGGUGCACGGGCAAAGGCGGAUUGCGGUAGCAAGGCACGGGGCCGAUCAGGCACCAAGACACAACGGACUGUGCGGAAGGCUACAUGGACCGAGAGCAGCUCGGCGUGUGACGAGGGCAUCUGUAUGUUAGGUAGGAGAGUUCGUCGCAGACAAAAUUUUUUCCGCUGACUUCUCUUUGAUAGUGGCUCAAUGUCCAAAGAAGCGUUUUGUCGGAGGUUUUGCUGGGGCAUUCUAGAAUCUUCUAGGGGAUCUCAAGACUAAUGGUGCGAAUGCUGAAGGGUCAAGAGUCUCUUAGAGUUUCUGAGUGGGUAAUAAUUGUAGUCUCUUGGGAGCUUGUAACCUCCCUCUUUACUUUGUAAUUUAUGCAUCAUUUUGCGUCUUUUCAUUUAUAGCCUGGGUGGCAAGUGACCUAUAUAAAGUUGUGGCCUCCAUCUCCUCUCCUUAGGAAAUUAAUUGUACUCUCAACUUUUAUCAAUACACAACAUUUCUCAAACUCUCUCUCUCUCUCUCUUGUACUUAGUCUAAGCCGAGUAGGUUCUAACUUAGCAAGUAGAGAGGUAGGCUUGCUCGCUUCGCGAAGAAAGACGAGCACUGCACGGGCUAAACGAGCGAUUUAGCUUAAGUCCGUAACAGAUAGCUGUGGGGACGUACGGGACAAAAUCUCCACAUGUAGAGAUUUUCUAGAAAAAGGCCGAAUCCACUACCACAACUUGAAGCAUAUAAAAUAUCAAAAUUGCCCUAAAACAAGCUUUGAAAAUGUCAAUGCCAUAUUUUUAUUCUUAAUAUGUUAUCUUUUUUCCAUUGAAAGUUUUAAAAUUUCUUUGUUCUUUUCAGAACAAUAGAAUGGGCAUUUUGAUAAUUUUAGUAUUUAAAUAUUUUACAGCAUUUCACUAGAAUAUCUGAUAAAUAAUUUUCUACAGCCUAUAAUAUUUUAAUUUACAACAAAAUCAGCCAAAUACUCUUCAAACUUUUUCUUAUAAUACAACCUUAUAUCAUAUAAAAUAUUUUUAAACAAUAUUUAUAUCAAACAGCUUGGCCAAACAUGCCUUUAAUAUAACAAGUGAAAAGACUACUAUUUUUAUGUGUCGAAAGAUACUUAAGAGGAGAUUAAAUUGGCAGGUCACGCUUAGAUUGGUGGUAGCCAGAGUUUCCCAUCAAUCUUCAGAUCCUCUCUGAACAUUAACUUACAACUGCAGUUCGUUCCAUUCACAAAAAUGUACAACAUUAACAACUUCAUUUAGUCCCAUAUAGCAUAUACGUAGCCUCGGAAGGGAAAACAUAACUAUAACUAUAUACAUUAUACUCAGACACAACACUGCAAACGACAAUCGAUACUAUUAAGCACACAUCACUCGAUCUGGACAUCGAUAACAUUUCGCUCCACAUUCUUCUUAGGUACAGUAACCAGAAGCACACCGUUUUGCAGUGCCGCCUUGACCUGGCUCACGUCACAGUUAUCCGGGAGCACCACCCGCGUGUAGUAGGAGCUCUCUUUCCACCCCUUCCACCAUGCGUCCUCCGCCUCACCGCCUUCCUCCUCCUUCCGCUCCCCGCGCACUACGAGCACAUUGUCGUCCUCCACGGCCACCCUUAACUCCUCCUUCGACAGCCCAGGCACGUCGAACCUGCAAAACAGCCCCUUUUAUUCCCUUAGCUACGUGUUUGAGUCGAGGAUUUAAUAGUAAAACAAUUUUCUGAAAUACAUUAUUUAAAAGGCAUAACAAUUGAUUAACAUAGUAUUAGAACAACAAGAAUUAAAUAAAAAUUCUGAUAAAUUGGAGGGAGUUAAGAGCGCAAUAGAAGUCUAAAGAGACUUAAAAAGAUCUCGUUCUUUGACAUCAUAUAAAAUAUUCCACAAAAGUUAUUAGAUAGCAAAUUUGGUUUCGAUAUUGCUGUUAAUGAAAAUAUUUUUAUCUAUCCCCACACCAUUACUCAACCGUACUCAAUGGUAGAAAAUGGUAUUACAUCUAAUACUCUCAUUCGCUUGUAGGAAUUUUAGGUCCAUCAAAGAAACUUGAUUAAAUUGUAGAAAACAAAAAUGAGGCAAUUUAAGUCUAAAAAUACUUAAAAAAGGAUCUCGAGAUGGUACUCAAGAUUGAAUACCCAUCAAAACGAAUCUUUUUUUGCCCUUUCAAAGAUUAAGCUACUAGAAAACAGUAUAAUCAGUAUACUCGACAAAAACCUCAUUUUCACUUCCUUGUCGUCCUCCAUAACAUCCCAUGGCGUCCUGACAUCUGACCCAAGCCCUGGAUAUGUCAUUGCAUCCUCAAAUAGCUGAUCCACCGUGUCUAGCAUUUGCCUCACCGUUUUCAUCGGAGAGAAUGGAUCAACCAGACCUGCAAAUUUCAUCACCAAGUUCUUCAGCAAAAGUUUUUCUACGAUCUUCUUUAGUAAUUUAAAUUCAGAAUUCAUAUGAGAAAAAAAAUCUCUUAUAAACCAAAAAUAAUGAUAGAAUUUUUUUUCAAGAUAUGUUUUGAACUAUAAAACCUCCAUUUUCACAUUAAAAAAAAUCAAUUUAUAAAACAUAAAUUUGAUUAUCGAAUCAAUUUGUAGUUUUGUGAAUAAUAAGAAAAAUGAAGCGGUCAAAAAAUGAGAAAUAAUUAUUGCUCUUUUAAAGCUUAAAACUUUUUAGUGUUCUGAUAGUAUAUUAAAGAAUGUGAAAAAAUCAUUAUUUUUCAAAAUCUUACACUUUCAAAGAACAGUGUCUUAACAUUUUUAUAUGAAAAAUAGUUCUUGUACACCCCAAAAAGGGGUGCAUAUCUUAUGCUCACAAUUUUAGGGCUGAUAAAAAUCGAAUUGGUUUCUCGUAAAAUUUAAAAAAAUUGAUGUGAUAAGAAUGAUCUUAAGAUGAAGUUGGUGUAAAAUGUACGCCCUACUAUAGGGUGUAUCUGUAGUAUUGCUUGAAUAUGUCUCCUUACAAAGCUACAAAAUUGCAUAUUUGUCCCCACAAAUUAGUUGCAAAUUAAUUUGCAAGGCAAGUUUACUACCAUUAAUUGCUUCUUAUACUUUGGACUGGCAUGCCCUUAGAAAAUUAGUUUUUCCAAAAAUAUUUUAAGAUUUAUGAUUUGUAAUUCACAUCAAAUGAUAUAAAGUUAAAAUAAAAAUAAAAAUAAUAAUAAAUACUAAUGAAUAUAGUUAAAAAAUAAAAGUAUUUAUUUAAGAAUAAUAAUUAUAUAUUUUAUUCAAUAAGAGACAGCUUUAACCGAUCAACUAACGUAAAAAGAAAAUAUGCCAACAAACUAUACUAUACUACUUUGGAGAGAGAUAUUUGAUAACUAAAACUUCAGAAUAAUACAAAUAAAAUUAUAUACCGAUAAAUAUGUAAUUUUAUUGCUUUUUAGGGACAUAAAUAUAAUAACACUAUUUAAAUUGAUAUUUUUAAAAGUUUAAAUUUUUUAAAAAGUUGAAAUUUAAAAUUUUCAAACUUUAAAAAUUUAUAACUUGUAAUCUUAAAAUUAAAAUUUUAUAAUUUUAAGUUCUAGAUUUUAAAUUUUAAAUUGAUAUUUUAAAUUUUUAAAUUUAAAAUUUGAUAUUUUAUAUAUUUAAAUUUUGAUUAAUUUUAAAUUUAAAAUUUAGAACUUUAAAUUUUUAAAUUUGAGAAUUAAAAUUUUAAUUUUAAUUUUAAAUUUUUAAAAUUUAAAAAUUAUAUAUUUAAAUAUAAAAUUUUAAAUAUAAAAUUUUAAAUUUUAAAUUCAACAUAAUAUAAGGGACAAUAUUAAUAUUUUUUAUUUAUAACUACCAACUAUCUUCUUAUUCUAUCUUAUCUAUCUAAACGCUAUUUUUUUAAUUCUCGAGAACAAUUUAAUUUUUAUUCAAACGCAAAAUUAUUCUAUUCCAGACUUAUACCUACACUUAUACCUAUUUCUGAAAUAGACGAUUCUUACUUAUACUCGAACCAAACGAAACUUAAAGUACAAAGAAAAACCAAAAAAGAAAAAGAAAAAAAGGAAGUAUUUCAGUUCUAAAACUUUAAAAUAUGCAAAUAUAUAUAUUCCCCACGAAUUGACUGCUAGUUGACUAAUAAGUUCUGCAGGUUAAUUUAAUUAGACCAUCAUGUCUUUAUAAGAAAUAUCUCUUUUUAAAAAAAUAAUUAAAUGUUAUAAUUUAUAGUUCUCGCAAAAUAAUAUAAAAGUACAAUAAUACUAAUAAAUAAUUUUAAAUAUAAUAAAGAAAUAAAAAAAUAUAAAUUAUCUGAACUACGAACUAUGUUGCAUCGGUUGUCCAUUCUUUCAAAAUUUUUAUUUUACUAUUCAACCUUUCAAUUCUUUUGAUUAGUCAGUCAAGAGCACUCUAACUUCAUAAUUUACGCUAAUUAUUAUUAAUUACUUACUGCUAGUAUACUAAUUAAAUUUAUAAAGAUAAAUGAGCAUCCAAAUUUUUAAACUAGACGUGCCGUCGAGAAAUCAAAUAGAGUGAAAGAUUACAUGGUAAAAUCAAAGUCUUAAAAGUGCUAAUAGCUAACUUAGAAUGAUCCAUAUAUAGUUCUAGCUAGUAAGUUUUAUAGUUUGGGUCAAUUAAUUGCUUAUAUACUCUAUAAAAAUUUCAGGUUUUUUUUAUUUAUCCCACUUAAAAGAGUAAUAUAAAAAUACCUUUCAACAUUUCAAAUUUUUUUAAAUAUAUGCAUAGCGUAGAUUCUUUUGGUCGUAAACGGUUAGAAACAACUAUUUUUCUAUAAAAUUACUAUUUUAUCCUUUCAAUAUAAUUUUUUACCGUCGCCAGCUUUUCUUAAUUAUCUUUAAUUUAAGGGCAAAAAAUUAUUUUAAUUUUUUAGCCUUUCAAAUAUAUCUUUCUACUGUUACCAAUUUUUCUUAUUUGUCCGUAAGUUAGAAGAAAAGUAAAUAUUUUAAUUUUCUUUUAACUUUGGUAAAAAUUUAACUCUGAUUUAAUCUGAGAUAGUUUAACGGGUAUUAAUAGUAGAGUUAUUUUUGAAUAAAAAAAAUUACGAGUGAUGUAUAUUUGAAACAAAAAAAAAUAAUUAAAGAUAUGUAAAAAUUAUUUUAGAAGUUUUUGAGAGCUAUAUAUAGAUACUUAUUUCUUGUAGUUUUCACCCAAAAAAAAACUCCGGAAUAAAAUGGUCAUUUUAUAGAAAAAAAAAAAAAAACACUGACUCUAACCAGUCACGGAGAGAAAUAAAUUUGCAAACGAAGAAAACUAAAAUUUUGUAAAAAUAAAUAAUAUAAUUCUAUCACUUAAUUUGUAGGGAUCGAUACACAUCCUAGUUAACCCGUAAGAUUAGUUGCUUACCGAAAGGAG